AUGAACGCUGGCGGCGUGCCUAAUACAUGCCGGUCGAGCGCACGGACGAGAAGCUUGCUUCUCUGAUGUUAGCGGCGGACGGGUGAGUAACACGUGGAUAACCUACCUAUAAGACUGGGAUAACUUCGGGAAACCGGAGCUAAUACCGGAUAAUAUUUUGAACCGCAUGGUUCAAAAGUAAAAGACGGUCUUGCUGUCACUUAUAGAUGGAUCCGCGCUGCAUUAGCUAGUUGGUAAGGUAACGGCUUACCAAGGCAACGAUGCAUAGCCGACCUGAGAGGGUGAUCGGCCACACUGGAACUGAGACACGGUCCAGACUCCUACGGGAGGCAGCAGUAGGGAAUCUUCCGCAAUGGGCGAAAGCCUGACGGAGCAACGCCGCGUGAGUGAUGAAGGUCUUCGGAUCGUAAAACUCUGUUAUUAGGGAAGAACAUAUGUGUAAGUAACUGUGCACAUCUUGACGGUACCUAAUCAGAAAGCCACGGCUAACUACGUG
RNAcentral lists this ribosomal RNA (496 nucleotides) under uncultured bacterium. RNAcentral describes it as "partial 16S ribosomal RNA". It matches the Rfam family "Bacterial small subunit ribosomal RNA", at positions 29 to 507 of the family's 1533-position model. The record is from RNAcentral.